Molecule: ribosomal RNA, 450 nt
Filed under: uncultured bacterium
Lineage: Bacteria
Description: partial 16S ribosomal RNA
Rfam family: Bacterial small subunit ribosomal RNA
Source: RNAcentral
GUGGGGAAUUUUGGACAAUGGGGGCAACCCUGAUCCAGCCAUCCCGCGUGUGCGAUGAAGGCCUUCGGGUUGUAAAGCACUUUUGGCAGGAAAGAAAUCGCACGGGAUAAUACCUCGUGUGGAUGACGGUACCUGCAGAAUAAGCACCGGCUAACUACGUGCCAGCAGCCGCGGUAAUACGUAGGGUGCAAGCGUUAAUCGGAAUUACUGGGCGUAAAGCGUGCGCAGGCGGUUCGGAAAGAAAGAUGUGAAAUCCCAGGGCUUAACCUUGGAACUGCAUUUUUAACUACCGGGCUAGAGUGUGUCAGAGGGGGGUGGAAUUCCGCGUGUAGCAGUGAAAUGCGUAGAUAUGCGGAGGAACACCGAUGGCGAAGGCAGCCCCCUGGGAUAACACUGACGCUCAUGCACGAAAGCGUGGGGAGCAAACAGGAUUAGAUACCCGGGUAGUCC